This 73-nucleotide transfer RNA is filed under the name Stegodyphus mimosarum. It matches the Rfam family "tRNA". From Rfam's summary of the family: Transfer RNA (tRNA) molecules are approximately 80 nucleotides in length. Their secondary structure includes four short double-helical elements and three loops (D, anti-codon, and T loops). The record is from Rfam by way of RNAcentral. Lineage: Eukaryota; Metazoa; Arthropoda; Arachnida; Araneae; Eresidae.
GCCUUAGUGGUAUAAUGGUCAGCACACUCGGCGCGUAUUCGAGAGGUCCGAGGUUCAAAUCCCGGCGAGAGCA